Molecule: ribosomal RNA, 1230 nt
Filed under: Triticum aestivum (bread wheat)
Lineage: Eukaryota; Viridiplantae; Streptophyta; Magnoliopsida; Poales; Poaceae
Description: partial small subunit ribosomal RNA
Source: RNAcentral
UUUUACCUACUCCCCCUCCCUUUUUUCCGAGAUCAACGAGUCAUGUGAUGAAGUGCGUACCUGGAGAAAAAAGAGAGAGAGUCGGUGCAGGUCUUGAGAGCUAUUAGGGAGGUGGAGGGGUAAUUAAAGAGAAUGGAGUGGGGUGUGCACCGGGAGUGGAGAGAGAGAGAGAGAAGAGGGGUCUAGACUUAGUGCGGUAAGAGUUAGAGAGCGAGGACAUGAGUGAAGGAGGUGGCGUGGUGCGGCUAGGAGGAGAGUGUACUCAGCGUGGUCGCGGUAGCUAAACCUCGUGGCCGACGAGAGAUGGAGGUCUAGACCACUCCGGUGGACUGCUACUCCUUUUACUGAGCCCGGGGAUAGGAGAAGACGCUCGUUGCUUCUGUCACCACUCGGGGUACGGAGCUGACUCCUCUGCUGCUGUUGCUUCUGUCCCCGACGUCCGCGGGACGUGCGUCGCUGUUGCCGCUGCCGACCGUACUGUCGCUGACGCUGCCUGAUGUAGUGGGAGGUUCUCUUCCUCGAGCGAGCCGUCGUCGGAGGUAACCGUCAACAAGUAGGAGAGUAACUAACCUAGGUCAGAAGACUCUUAAUCAUAAGUUAGACGACGUCUAGAAAACUCUUUGUGUUUUCUCCUAGACUACAUUAUGUUUUCCUCGUACUAGGUAAAAUAAGGUCUCCAUGCAAGUACACAAUAGUCAACCCCAGGUCGAAAGUAAGACUGCUGUUGAAGAGGUAGAGGGGUUGUUGUUUGUCAUAAAGAACACCUAUUCACCGCCUCCCGCCUCCGGUGCCAUGUGUACUACAAGAACCAGUGGCUGGUAGGAGAUCCACAACUGGACUUCAUUAACAAAAAACAUAGAUAGGAUGUACUAAAGACGUUCGCCAAAGGAAAACGGUAAAAAACACUGGACACCUUCACUACUUACAAUAUAGAUGGCUCGUCAUCGUAGCUACCGGUUCCCACGUCGCGUUUCUACUGUCGCCGGCUACCGCCAGACUGGAGGACAUUAGUUCGUGUACAGCACUGCGUUUGAACUUGCACAAGUGUAUCGGUGGCGACUACGUAUAUGUACUUACGAAAUAGUACAUGACAUACUUACCUUGCUGAUAUCGUCCAAAGAAACGUGAAAACGUUUGUUCGGUAAAAACAAUGGUCACUAGUUUGUACAUGUAUGAAGAAUAAUGCACAUAUGCAUAUGAGAAAAAACCACUUAUUUAAGAAUACGCUCG